RNAcentral lists this ribosomal RNA (1541 nucleotides) under Klebsiella pneumoniae. RNAcentral describes it as "bacterial SSU rRNA". It matches the Rfam family "Bacterial small subunit ribosomal RNA". The record is from RNAcentral. Lineage: Bacteria; Pseudomonadati; Pseudomonadota; Gammaproteobacteria; Enterobacterales; Enterobacteriaceae.
AAAUUGAAGAGUUUGAUCAUGGCUCAGAUUGAACGCUGGCGGCAGGCCUAACACAUGCAAGUCGAGCGGUAGCACAGAGAGCUUGCUCUCGGGUGACGAGCGGCGGACGGGUGAGUAAUGUCUGGGAAACUGCCUGAUGGAGGGGGAUAACUACUGGAAACGGUAGCUAAUACCGCAUAAUGUCGCAAGACCAAAGUGGGGGACCUUCGGGCCUCAUGCCAUCAGAUGUGCCCAGAUGGGAUUAGCUAGUAGGUGGGGUAACGGCUCACCUAGGCGACGAUCCCUAGCUGGUCUGAGAGGAUGACCAGCCACACUGGAACUGAGACACGGUCCAGACUCCUACGGGAGGCAGCAGUGGGGAAUAUUGCACAAUGGGCGCAAGCCUGAUGCAGCCAUGCCGCGUGUGUGAAGAAGGCCUUCGGGUUGUAAAGCACUUUCAGCGGGGAGGAAGGCGUUAAGGUUAAUAACCUUGGCGAUUGACGUUACCCGCAGAAGAAGCACCGGCUAACUCCGUGCCAGCAGCCGCGGUAAUACGGAGGGUGCAAGCGUUAAUCGGAAUUACUGGGCGUAAAGCGCACGCAGGCGGUCUGUCAAGUCGGAUGUGAAAUCCCCGGGCUCAACCUGGGAACUGCAUUCGAAACUGGCAGGCUAGAGUCUUGUAGAGGGGGGUAGAAUUCCAGGUGUAGCGGUGAAAUGCGUAGAGAUCUGGAGGAAUACCGGUGGCGAAGGCGGCCCCCUGGACAAAGACUGACGCUCAGGUGCGAAAGCGUGGGGAGCAAACAGGAUUAGAUACCCUGGUAGUCCACGCCGUAAACGAUGUCGAUUUGGAGGUUGUGCCCUUGAGGCGUGGCUUCCGGAGCUAACGCGUUAAAUCGACCGCCUGGGGAGUACGGCCGCAAGGUUAAAACUCAAAUGAAUUGACGGGGGCCCGCACAAGCGGUGGAGCAUGUGGUUUAAUUCGAUGCAACGCGAAGAACCUUACCUGGUCUUGACAUCCACAGAACUUUCCAGAGAUGGAUUGGUGCCUUCGGGAACUGUGAGACAGGUGCUGCAUGGCUGUCGUCAGCUCGUGUUGUGAAAUGUUGGGUUAAGUCCCGCAACGAGCGCAACCCUUAUCCUUUGUUGCCAGCGGUUCAGGCCGGGAACUCAAAGGAGACUGCCAGUGAUAAACUGGAGGAAGGUGGGGAUGACGUCAAGUCAUCAUGGCCCUUACGACCAGGGCUACACACGUGCUACAAUGGCAUAUACAAAGAGAAGCGACCUCGCGAGAGCAAGCGGACCUCAUAAAGUAUGUCGUAGUCCGGAUUGGAGUCUGCAACUCGACUCCAUGAAGUCGGAAUCGCUAGUAAUCGUAGAUCAGAAUGCUACGGUGAAUACGUUCCCGGGCCUUGUACACACCGCCCGUCACACCAUGGGAGUGGGUUGCAAAAGAAGUAGGUAGCUUAACCUUCGGGAGGGCGCUUACCACUUUGUGAUUCAUGACUGGGGUGAAGUCGUAACAAGGUAACCGUAGGGGAACCUGCGGUUGGAUCACCUCCUUA